CACCGAUGGGAUCUGCAUCUCUCUUCCACCGUGUUGGCCCCUGGAUUCUUGACCAGCCCCUUCGGCAUCGCAGCUCCUGAGAGGACAAUGGAAGCCACCAUUCUACAGAUGGGGCAUGCUUCAUGCCAGCGUGGAGCCCAGGGUGAGGCUUGAACUCACAACCCUGAGAUCAAGACCUGAGCCGAGAGCCAAGAGUCGGAAGCUCGAGCGACUGAGCCACCCAGGUACCCCGGGUAUGCCUUUAUUAAUGACGGUUUUACAUGUGUCCCCGCAUCCUAUCACCGCCAUGACGGAGGCUCACCCUGGGUUAAGUUGUGUGCCCAAGCAGCCCGCUGGGAAGAGAAGACAGAAGACAAGCUGCCUGUGAGCAUGAGACCCAUCCCCCACUCUCGCACGGAGGUGCUGCUGUGUUUUAAAAUCACCUUGGUGGAUUUAUAUAUUAGUGUUCUUUUCUAUUUUAAAAGCGCUUUCCCAUUGUGCUUUGGCUCACUGGGGCAAUGCUGUUCUCCUGGUUGCGCCGAUAGGCUUUUCAAUCAAAACCAAACAACAAAUCCACAUGCUUCUAUUUUUUUAUAGAUCUCUGCUUUUUCAGGAAAAUAAAUAUUUGUUGAAUUGAAGUAGAAAAA
This is a long non-coding RNA of Herpailurus yagouaroundi (jaguarundi), 626 nucleotides long. RefSeq lists it as uncharacterized. The transcript is spliced from 2 exons. NCBI's taxonomy places the organism in Eukaryota, Metazoa, Chordata, Mammalia, Carnivora, Felidae. The record is from RefSeq and is a predicted model, not a curated record.